GAACGCAGCACCAGGACCAGCCUGCCUCACAUUGUUAACGUUGAUUUCUCCCGUUCAAAGCAGCAUUUUGUCUUCCGUGAGCCGAACCUGGGUCACAGCCUCCCACUAACCGCAUGAAAUCUCGGCUUCGUCAGGCAGCGGGACACGGACACCGGCACACGCCCGAGCAUGAGGAGGAUCGGUGGCCGUUACCCUGCCCAGACCGGAGGCUGCUGGUAGGGAUGGUGUCGCUGUGAAGAGCCGGUGUGACGAGCCUGUGGUCGGGGAAGAAGUGCCUGGACAACAUGACUGUUUUCAACCCGGAAAAUGUGGAGGAAUUUUAUGACAUCGGGGACGAGCUGGGGAGUUUCCCAGCGUGCCUUGGCUUUGGUAGUGGAGGUGAAUGAGGGAGAAGGGUCAGUCCCAUUGCCCUGUCAGUACUCAGGAUUUAUACCUGAGGACAAUCCCACGGUGCUGUGGACUCGUGAUGAUCUGGAUCCAAAGUCUGUCCACAUACGACGAGAAGGAGGAGACGAUCUUAGAGGACAAAACCAGCUUUACAGCGGACGCACAUCAAUGAGGUCUGAUGCUCUGGACUCGUUAGACUUCAGCCUCACUCUGAGAAAACCAACAAAGACUGACAGCGGCAACUACACCUGCUCCAUCAGUGAUUGGAGACAAGAACGGAGACUGAGAAACAUACAGCUGGAGGUCAAAGACCAGCAGGUGGAGGUGGGGGUGGAGGAAGGCUCAGAGUCCGUCCUCCUGCCCUGCAAAACAAAACCUGACCUGCCUGAGGACACAAGAGUGGAGUGGACUCGCUCUGACCUCAUGAUGGUCCGUGUGUAUUCAAACAGAAGCGACCUCCUUAAAAAACAGGACAACCUUUACAGAGAUCGAACAAAGAUGAACAAAGACCUGCUGAGGACUGGAGACCUCAGUCUGACCCUGAAAUACCCCACAGACUGGGACACAGGAGGAUACAUCUGCACCAUCUACAGGGACGAAGACAUCCUGAGGCAGAAAGUCGUGCUGCAGGUCAAAGUUUACAAGGUGGAGGUGGAUUCAGGGGUGGAGUCUGUUCAGCUGAUCUGCAAAACCACAGUUUGUCUGCCUAAAGAUGCUAAAGUGGAGUGGAAGGACAAAAACAACAGGAAGGUCCACGUGUAUGAGAACGGCUCUGACCAGCCUGAAGAACAGGACGAUAAAUACAAGAACCGAACAAAGAUGAAGAGAAACUUACUGGAACCUGGAGACCUCAGUCUGACCCUGAAACACCCCACAGAUGAAGACAACUCCACCUACACCUGCACCGUCUACAGCAGGGAGGGAAACAUCCUGAUGGAGAAACAAGUGGAGCUGAAAGUCAGAGUCCCCCAGGUGGAGGUGGAUUCAGGGGUGGAGUCUGUCCAGCUGCCCUUCAACACCACACUUCACCUGCCUGAAGACGCUAAAGUGGAGUGGAAGGAGAACAGAUACAACAUGAAGGUCCACGUGUAUAAGAACGGCUCUGACCAGCCUGAGGAAAAGGACAUGAAAUACAAAAACCGAAUAAAGAUGAAUGAAGACCUGCUGAAAACUGGAGACCUCAGUCUGACCCUGAAAUACCCCACAGAUGAUGACAACAGGACCUACACCUGCACCGUCUACAGCAGGGAGGGAAACAUCCUGCUGAAGAAACAAGUGGAGCUGAAAGUCAGAGUCUGUCAGGUGGAGGUGGAGGAGGGGGCGGAGUCUGUCCAGCUGCCCUUCAAAACCACACAAAACCUGCCUGAAGAUGUUAGAGUGGAGUGGAAACGUCUUGAACCUGAACCAUCACUGAUGGUCCACGUGUAUAAGAACCGCUCUGACCAGCCUGAAGAACAGCACCAGGUUUACAGAGACCGAACGAAAAUGAAUAAAGACCUGCUGAAAACUGGAGACCUCAGUCUGACCCUGAAACACCCCACAGAGAGAGACAGUGGGAGAUACAGAUGUGCAGUUGACAGCAGGAACAUCUGGAUAAGAUACAAAUCAGUGCAGCUCAAAGUUAAAGGGAGAGUUCAGGUCCAGGAUCAAACAGGGGACAUCAGGAACAGAAGCAGCUCCAUUGAUCCGACUCCUCUGAUGGCUGAUCAAUUAGUUUGAUCUGUGUGUUCUUUGAUUAUUGAUCAGUGGUGUCAGAGUGGAGUCAGUGUGAUGUUGUUGUUGUGUGUUUGAGACUUUUAGUGUCCAUGAAGGUCUCUGCUGCCGUAGAUCCUCUGAACUGUGACAGAGGUCUCACUCUGGAGGAAACUCUCAGCACUUUCCAGCAGCUCCUCCAUCAUGGAGGACGUUCCCUCACUGUAACAGGUGGAGGAGAGAGGAGAGGAAGCACAGGUGGAUCCUCUGAGGAAGAGGAGCGUUCCUACAAACCACAUGAUCACAUGACCAGAGGACAAGCAUGUGUAGAAACACAUUAAAGUCAGCCUGUAAACACGUUUGUGUCAAUUCUAGUCGUGUUUUUCUGUUACAGUCAAAUAAAAGCAGAGAAAGC
This is a long non-coding RNA of Oreochromis aureus, 2494 nucleotides long. Lineage: Eukaryota; Metazoa; Chordata; Actinopteri; Cichliformes; Cichlidae. The record is from Ensembl.